Molecule: ribosomal RNA, 1240 nt
Filed under: uncultured bacterium
Lineage: Bacteria
Description: bacterial SSU rRNA
Rfam family: Bacterial small subunit ribosomal RNA
Source: RNAcentral
GGGUGAGUAAUAUAUCGGAACGUACCCUGGAGUGGGGGAUAACGUAGCGAAAGUUACGCUAAUACCGCAUACGAUCUAAGGAUGAAAGUGGGGGAUUCGCAAGAACCUCAUGCUCCUGGAGCGGCCGAUAUCUGAUUAGCUAGUUGGUAGGGUAAAAGCCUACCAAGGCAUCGAUCAGUAGCUGGUCUGAGAGGACGACCAGCCACACUGGAACUGAGACACGGUCCAGACUCCUACGGGAGGCAGCAGUGGGGAAUUUUGGACAAUGGGCGCAAGCCUGAUCCAGCAAUGCCGCGUGAGUGAAGAAGGCCUUCGGGUUGUAAAGCUCUUUUGUCAGGGAAGAAACGGUGUUUUCUAAUACAGAGCGCUAAUGACGGUACCUGAAGAAUAAGCACCGGCUAACUACGUGCCAGCAGCCGCGGUAAUAUGUAGGGUGCAAGCGUUAAUCGGAAUUACUGGGCGUAAAGCGUGCGCAGGCGGUUUUGUAAGACUGUCGUGAAAUCCCCGGGCUCAACCUGGGAAUGGCGAUGGUGACUGCAAGGCUAGAGUUUGGCAGAGGGGGGUAGAAUUCCACGUGUAGCAGUGAAAUGCGUAGAUAUGUGGAGGAACACCGAUGGCGAAGGCAGCCCCCUGGGUCAAAACUGACGCUCAUGCACGAAAGCGUGGGGAGCAAACAGGAUUAGAUACCCUGGUAGUCCACGCCCUAAACGAUGUCUACUAGUUGUCGGGUUUUAAUUAACUUGGUAACGCAGCUAACGCGUGAAGUAGACCGCCUGGGGAGUACGGUCGCAAGAUUAAAACUCAAAGGAAUUGACGGGGACCCGCACAAGCGGUGGAUGAUGUGGAUUAAUUCGAUGCAACGCGAAAAACCUUACCUACCCUUGACAUGGCAGAAAUCCCGGAGAGAUUUGGGAGUGCUCGAAAGAGAAUCUGCACACAGGUGCCGCAUGGCUGUCGUCAGCUCGUGUCGUGAGAUGUUGGGUUAAGUCCCGCAACGAGCGCAACCCUUGUCAUUAGUUGCUACGAAAGAGCACUCUAAUGAGACUGCCGGUGACAAACCGGAGGAAGGUGGGGAUGACGUCAAGUCCUCAUGGCCCUUAUGGGUAGGGCUUCACACGUCAUACAAUGGUACAUACAGAGGGCCGCCAACCCGCGAGGGGGAGCUAAUCCCAGAAAGUGUAUCGUAGUCCGGAUUGUAGUCUGCAACUCGACUGCAUGAAGUUGGAAUCGCUAGUAAUCG